RNAcentral lists this ribosomal RNA (460 nucleotides) under uncultured bacterium. RNAcentral describes it as "partial 16S ribosomal RNA". It matches the Rfam family "Bacterial small subunit ribosomal RNA", at positions 29 to 507 of the family's 1533-position model. The record is from RNAcentral.
GUGAAUGCUAGCAAGAUACAUAACACAUGAGGAGUUGAACGGAAUUUUACUUAAAUUCAGUAGCGAACGGGUGCGUAAUACAUUGGUAAUUUACCUAAUAGUUUGAAAUAUAAAAAUCGAGGGGUAUUUGAAAUUUCAAAUAAUUUUUAAAGAUUUGAAUCGCUAUUAGAUAAGCUAUUGUAGGAUUAGAAAUAUAUAAAUUGUCUAUUUAUAUAUAGAUAGUUGGUAGGGUAAUGGCUUACCAAAUCAACAAUCCUUAGCUGCGACGGGAGUUGCUACAGCCACAUUAGGACUGAGACACGGCCUAAAUCCCUGUGGGGAGCACCAGUGUGGAAUAUUGAGCAAUGCACGAAAGUGUGACUCAAUAAUUUUGCAACAAUGAAGAAGAUAUAGUUGUAAAAUUGUUUCUAUAGUUAUGAUAAUGACGCAAACUAUAAAAGAAGUGCCGGUUAAUAUUCAU